GGUACGCCAUGUGAUGGCACCACCCCGUCCCUCCUGUCCUUUCAACACACGUGUACAUCGGAUGCCUGCUGUGUGCCAGGCACUUUCUUGGCCCUGGGACUGGGGGUGAACAGAACAAGCAGGGUCUCUGUCACACUGAAAAUUCAUAUUCUAGGAGAGAAUGCUGUGGAGACUCCUGAAUUUUCAUGGAUGCUGUCACCUUUUUCAGACCUCUGCUCAAAUGUCACCUCCUCAGAGAGGCCUUCCCUGAUUACCCAUUCUACAGUAGCCACACAUUUGCCCUCAUUCUCCAUCAUAACAUUUAUUACUAUAUGACAUUGUUAUAGGUAGUCAUGUGUUUUUCUGUCUUGCCUUCUAGAAUGUAAGUGCAGCAUUAUAUCCCAGGGGCCUGGAAUAGACCCUGGCACAUAGUGGGCACUCAAUACUUCUUGAAUAGAUGAAUAGUAUCUAGAUUGAAUAGAAAAGUCUAGGGAUGGGACCCAGACAUCAGUAAUUAAAAAAAAUUUUUUUUAUAGCUCUCUAGGUGAUUCUGACAUGGAGCCAGGGUUGAGAACCAUUGCUCCACAUGGUACCCUGGGUACCUCCGCUUGGGUGGUGUCACUGGUACAGGGAGAGGGCUGCAUCUUGCUGCUCUUGUUGGAUGCUGAUGCAGACAAGAGUUAAGGCUCAAGAUUCAUUUUGUGGGGACUUGAUUCCUCGGACUGGCUGUCCCCAGACACACCUGUGUGCUCUUGUCAGCUCCUGGUAGAGUCUUCACGCCUUCACCUUGCCUUCUUCAUUGCCAGCAGCUCUUGUAGUUCUUGCCUUUCUGAUCAAGGAAAGCACAGUUGGAAAUGAAGGGAAUGAAUGUGGUUGUCAGGGUGACAACCUCGAGGAGAGGGAGGCCAGGAGGAAUUUUGUAAGAGCACUGUGGGGAAAGAUGUCUUGAUGGAGGAACUGCUUUGGAGGACUAGCCUGAUUUGGUGUGGUUAAUGUCAGAGCUGCCAUGUGGAUAUAGAAAGUGAUUCUAAGGUAUAUUGUUUCAUUUGCAUUUCUCUUGGUCUACAGGAAAAGCAAAAAUUUCUGGGACAAAAUUAUUAUAAAGAGGGACCUGAAGGAAAUGAUAUUCGAAAGACAAAUGUUGCUCAGAUCCGGAUGGCGUUCCGAUAAUGAGACCUUAUGCAAUGAGCUCAGCUUCCUGUCUGACGCCAUGAAAUCAGAAGAGAUCACAGCCCUGACCAAGUAGUCGAGUACUGGACAUGCAUUUUAACUUUCUGGUUUAAUUUCAAAUCUGCUGUGAUUAACAGUGUUCAAGAUACAAAACUAUCCUCCACGGAGAGGAUGUCUGUGAAGAACUUUCAAACUAGUGAUUUUUCGUUGCACUGUUCACUUUAAGGAAACCAAAUAUUCACAUCACAACCAUCACUCCUAAUUUGGGUCUUGGUUUCCUCAUCUGAAAGGUGAGUUUGCACUAGAUGAGUGGUUUUCAGGUGGUGGUCUGUGAGUUCCCCUCCUGGACCACUUCAAGGCAGGGGUGGGCAGGGGGGAGUGAGGUUCUGGGGUGCUGCUUUUACUUCUUCAAGGUGACUCUGCUUUCAUCAGUUUUACAUUGGGACUUCUGUGUAUUUACAUUUGAACUAAGGACUUUGAAAAGCACAGGACUAGAUGACCUCUGUUCCUUUUGGCUUUAAUAUUCUAUGAUUGUAGCCCAAUUAUCAUUUUACUUAUGAAGAGUUAGUUAGGGCCACAGAAGUAAAGUUUGCUUAAGGUCACACAGCUCUAAUAAGUAAUAGGACUAGAACUAGGUUUCCCCAAUCCUAAUCCAGUCCUUUCCCCACUAUUCCAUCAGACCUCACAAAUUUAGAUUUUUUUUGGUCACUGUAACCUGGUGCAUUUUUUUUCCCCCAAGGUGAAAUCUCACCUUUACCUAAUAUGCAGACUUCUUCAGAAGAUAUAAGUGGUCCCUGGGGG
This is a long non-coding RNA of Physeter macrocephalus (sperm whale), 1950 nucleotides long. RefSeq lists it as uncharacterized. NCBI's taxonomy places the organism in Eukaryota, Metazoa, Chordata, Mammalia, Artiodactyla, Physeteridae. The record is from RefSeq and is a predicted model, not a curated record. The transcript has 2 exons.